GAUCCUGGCUCAGAAUCAACGCUGGCGGCGCGCCUAACACAUGCAAGUCGAACGAGAAAGUGGAGCAAUCCAUGAGUAAAGUGGCGUACGGGUGAGUAACACGUGGAUAAUCUGCCCUUUAGUGGGGAAUACCGUUGGGAAACCGACGACAAUACCGCAUAAGCUCGAGAGAGGAAAGCAGCAAUGCGCUGAAGGAGGAGUCCGCGGCCGAUUAGCUAGUUGGUAGGGUAAUGGCCUACCAAGGCUGUGAUCGGUAGCCGGCCUGAGAGGGCACACGGCCACACUGGCACUGAAACACGGGCCAGACUCCUACGGGAGGCAGCAGUGGGGAAUCUUGCACAAUGGGGGAAACCCUGACGCAGCAACGCCGCGUGGAGGAUGAAAUCCCUUGGGAUGUAAACUCCUUUCGAUGGGGAAGAUUAUGACGGUACCCAUAGAAGAAGCCCCGGCUAACUUCGUGCCAGCAGCCGCGGUAAUACGAGGGGGGCAAGCGUUGUUCGGAAUUAUUGGGCGUAAAGGGUGCGUAGGCGGUCUGACAAGUCUGAUGUGAAAUCUAUGGGCUCAACCCAUAGUCUGCAUCGGAAACUGUCGGGCUUGAGUAUGGGAGAGGUGAGUGGAAUUUCCGGUGUAGCGGUGAAAUGCGUAGAUAUCGGAAGGAACACCUGUGGCGAAAGCGGCUCACUGGACCAU
Molecule: ribosomal RNA, 690 nt
Filed under: uncultured Acidobacteriota bacterium
Lineage: Bacteria; Pseudomonadati; Acidobacteriota
Description: bacterial SSU rRNA
Rfam family: Bacterial small subunit ribosomal RNA
Source: RNAcentral